This is a long non-coding RNA of Procambarus clarkii (red swamp crayfish), 973 nucleotides long. RefSeq lists it as uncharacterized. The record is from RefSeq and is a predicted model, not a curated record. NCBI's taxonomy places the organism in Eukaryota, Metazoa, Arthropoda, Malacostraca, Decapoda, Cambaridae.
GAGGAAGGCAGCGGAGGAGGCGUAGAAGGGAAGGAACCAUCCUAGGCGCUCUCUAAUUGACGCCACCUGCAGAGCCACCUGCCGCUGCCCCAUCCUCCUGACUGCCUCUCCUUGUCUUCUAUUCUGUGAGGGAGAUGGAAAUAACUUCCUGUUCAAGCAUUGCAUCUAGUUCAUCCGUGAGGUUUGCCAGCAUAUUUCCAAUGUCAUUAAGGACAUCGCCUGUGCCAUCUGGAGAACUGUGAAAGAAAGUUUUUAUUAAAAAAUCAUUGCAUUUAAACAAUUAAACAAACAAUUGUCUUGUAUAACAACGAUACAAAAUAUUAAAUAAGAAGUUUUUGCAUUUGCUGUUAGUUCGUUCAGGUUUUGAGCAGAAUAAAAUGAGACGUUCAGGAGAAAAUAGUACAUGAUUCAAGAAGGAAGCCUGAAAUAUAGCAUCAUCUGUGAUUGCGAGGGGAGUAAGCCAAUCGAGAAGAGGACAAAAAAGCCAGAUCCCAAUUAAACAGCUAAGAAUGUUAAGAACUAAAUGAGUCAACCAACAGUAAAAUAAAAAAAAUUGCCCAAGACAGCUUCACAAAAAAAAAUAUCGACUAUACUGUAACUGUAAAACAAGAGAGGUUCCGCCAAAGUCAAAGUACUGUAUAGUAGGUGACAAUACAGUAUUAGGCAUCAAAUGGCAAUCCACAAAAAGCCAAGAAAGAAACGACAUAACAAUCACCACAGACACAGAAUAAAUGCUGAAGAGGAAAAGAUGGAAGGCCUGCUAAGUAGCCUCAUAUGGUUGUCAAGGAAAGAUGCAAAUGUGACACUGAAAGAUCUGUCACCUGACUGGCAUAAACAGAUCUUCCCAAGUGAGCUGUGUCAUCUGCUCCACAGAUGUGUACUUCUGUUGCCUUAGUGAAGCUGUGUAUUCCUCAAGCCGCAAAAUUGAUAACCAAUCCUCCAAACGACCCUGAAGAUAAAAUUACAAAGCAUU